RNAcentral lists this ribosomal RNA (253 nucleotides) under uncultured bacterium. Its description in RNAcentral is "partial 16S ribosomal RNA". It matches the Rfam family "Bacterial small subunit ribosomal RNA", at positions 524 to 776 of the family's 1533-position model. The record is from RNAcentral.
UACGUAGGGGGCAAGCGUUACUCGGAAUUACUGGGCGUAAAGGGUGAGUAGGCGGCUGAGCAAGUCAAGGAUGAAAGCCCGAGGCUCAACUUAGGAAUUGUCCUUGAAACUGCUCAGCUUGAGGGUAGUUGAGGAGAGUGCAAUUCCCGGUGGAGCGGUGAAAUGCGUAGAUAUCGGGAGGAACACCUGAGGCGAAGGCUGCUCUCUAAGCUAUUCCUGACGCUGAAUCACGAAAGCUAGGGGAUCAAUCGGG